This 253-nucleotide ribosomal RNA is filed under the name uncultured bacterium. RNAcentral describes it as "partial 16S ribosomal RNA". It matches the Rfam family "Bacterial small subunit ribosomal RNA", at positions 524 to 776 of the family's 1533-position model. The record is from RNAcentral.
UACGUAGGGGGCGAGCGUUGCCCGAAGUUACUGGGCGUAAAGAGCGCGUAGGCGGGUCUUUAAGUGAGGGGUGAAAGGUUCGGGCUCAACCCGAACACUGCCUUUCAUACUGGGGACCUUGAGUGCGGGAGAGGCGAGUGGAAUGGUCGGUGUAGCGGUGAAAUGCGUAGAGAUAUGGAGGAACACCAGUGGCGAAGGCGACUUUCUGGUCUGUAACUGACACUGAGGCGCGAAAGCGUGGGGAGCAAACAGG